UAAGCCGUUGAAGGUGUGUUGUAAAGCAUGCUGGAGGUAUCAGAAGUGCGAAUGCUGACAUGAGUAACGACAAGGGGGGUGAAAAACCUCCCCGCCGGAAGACCAAGGGUUCCUGUCCAACGUUAAUCGGGGCAGGGUAAGUCGACCCCUAAGGCGAGGCUGAAAAGCGUAGUCGAUGGGAAACGGGUUAAUAUUCCCGUACUUCUUACAAUUGCGAUGGGGGGACGGAGAAGGCUAGGUGGGCCUGGCGACGGUUGUCCAGGUUCAAGUGCGUAGGCUGAGUGUUUAGGUAAAUCCGGAUACUCUUAAGGCUGAGACACGACGUCGAGCUACUACGGUAGUGAAGUCAUUGAUGCCAUGCUUCCAGGAAAAGCCUCUAAGCUUCAGAUUGUAAGGAAUCGUACCCCAAACCGACACAGGUGGUCGGGUAGAGAAUACCAAGGCGCUUGAGAGAACUCGGGUGAAGGAACUAGGCAAAAUGGUACCGUAACUUCGGGAGAAGGUACGCUCUUGAUGGUGAAGUCCCUUGCGGAUGGAGCUGACGAGAGUCGCAGAUACCAGGUGGCUGCAACUGUUUAUUAAAAACACAGCACUGUGCAAAAUCGUAAGAUGACGUAUACGGUGUGACGCCUGCCCGGUGCCGGAAGGUUAAUUGAUGGGGUUAGCGUAAGCGAAGCUCUUGAUCGAAGCCCCGGUAAACGGCGGCCGUAACUAUAACGGUCCUAAGGUAGCGAAAUUCCUUGUCGGGUAAGUUCCGACCUGCACGAAUGGCGUAAUGAUGGCCACGCUGUCUCCACCCGAGACUCAGUGAAAUUGAAAUCGCUGUGAAGAUGCAGUGUACCCGCGGCUAGACGGAAAGACCCCGUGAACCUUUACUACAGCUUGGCACUGAACAUUGAACCUACAUGUGUAGGAUAGGUGGGAGGCUUUGAAGACGUGACGCCAGUUGCGUUGGAGCCGUCCUUGAAAUACCACCCUUGUAUGUUUGAUGUUCUAACGUUGGCCCCUAAUCGGGGUUGCGGACAGUGCCUGGUGGGUAGUUUGACUGGGGCGGUCUCCUCCCAAAGAGUAACGGAGGAGCACGAAGGUGGGCUAAUCACGGUUGGACAUCGUGAGGUUAGUGCAAUGGCAUAAGCCCGCUUAACUGCGAGAAUGACGGUUCGAGCAGGUGCGAAAGCAGGUCAUAGUGAUCCGGUGGUUCUGAAUGGAAGGGCCAUCGCUCAACGGAUAAAAGGUACUCCGGGGAUAACAGGCUGAUACCGCCCAAGAGUUCAUAUCGACGGCGGUGUUUGGCACCUCGAUGUCGGCUCAUCACAUCCUGGGGCUGAAGUCGGUCCCAAGGGUAUGGCUGUUCGCCAUUUAAAGUGGUACGCGAGCUGGGUUUAGAACGUCGUGAGACAGUUCGGUCCCUAUCUGCCGUGGGCGUUGGAAGAUUGAAGGGGGCUGCUCCUAGUACGAGAGGACCGGAGUGGACGAACCUCUGGUGUUCGGGUUGUGUCGCCAGACGCAUUGCCCGGUAGCUAAGUUCGGAAUCGAUAACCGCUGAAAGCAUCUAAGCGGGAAGCGAGCCCUGAGAUGAGUCUUCCCUGAUACUUUAAGUAUCCUAAAGGGUUGUUCGAGACUAGAACGUUGAUAGGCAGGGUGUGUAAGCGCUGUGAGGCGUUGAGCUAACCUGUACUAAUUGCCCGUGAGGCUUAACCAUACAACACCCAAAGGGUUUUG
This 1722-nucleotide ribosomal RNA is filed under the name Vibrio vulnificus. Its description in RNAcentral is "partial 23S ribosomal RNA". It matches the Rfam family "Bacterial large subunit ribosomal RNA", at positions 1243 to 2925 of the family's 2925-position model. Lineage: Bacteria; Pseudomonadati; Pseudomonadota; Gammaproteobacteria; Vibrionales; Vibrionaceae. The record is from RNAcentral.